RNAcentral lists this ribosomal RNA (2747 nucleotides) under Escherichia coli. Its description in RNAcentral is "partial 23S ribosomal RNA". It matches the Rfam family "Bacterial large subunit ribosomal RNA". The record is from RNAcentral. Lineage: Bacteria; Pseudomonadati; Pseudomonadota; Gammaproteobacteria; Enterobacterales; Enterobacteriaceae.
GGGUUGUGAGGUUAAGCGACUAAGCGUACACGGUGGAUGCCCUGGCAGUCAGAGGCGAUGAAGGACGUGCUAAUCUGCGAUAAGCGUCGGUGAGGUGAUAUGAACCGUUAUAACCGGCGAUUUCCGAAUGGGGAAACCCAGUGUGUUUCGACACACUAUCAUUAACUGAAUCCAUAGGUUAAUGAGGCGAACCGGGGGAACUGAAACAUCUAAGUACCCCGAGGAAAAGAAAUCAACCGAGAUUCCCCCAGUAGCGGCGAGCGAACGGGGAGGAGCCCAGAGCCUGAAUCAGUGUGUGUGUUAGUGGAAGCGUCUGGAAAGGCGCGCGAUACAGGGUGACAGCCCCGUACACAAAAAUGCACAUGCUGUGAGCUCGAUGAGUAGGGCGGGACACGUGGUAUCCUGUCUGAAUAUGGGGGGACCAUCCUCCAAGGCUAAAUACUCCUGACUGACCGAUAGUGAACCAGUACCGUGAGGGAAAGGCGAAAAGAACCCCGGCGAGGGGAGUGAAAAAGAACCUGAAACCGUGUACGUACAAGCAGUGGGAGCCUCUUUAUGGGGUGACUGCGUACCUUUUGUAUAAUGGGUCAGCGACUUAUAUUCUGUAGCAAGGUUAACCGAAUAGGGGAGCCGAAGGGAAACCGAGUCUUAACUGGGCGUUAAGUUGCAGGGUAUAGACCCGAAACCCGGUGAUCUAGCCAUGGGCAGGUUGAAGGUUGGGUAACACUAACUGGAGGACCGAACCGACUAAUGUUGAAAAAUUAGCGGAUGACUUGUGGCUGGGGGUGAAAGGCCAAUCAAACCGGGAGAUAGCUGGUUCUCCCCGAAAGCUAUUUAGGUAGCGCCUCGUGAAUUCAUCUCCGGGGGUAGAGCACUGUUUCGGCAAGGGGGUCAUCCCGACUUACCAACCCGAUGCAAACUGCGAAUACCGGAGAAUGUUAUCACGGGAGACACACGGCGGGUGCUAACGUCCGUCGUGAAGAGGGAAACAACCCAGACCGCCAGCUAAGGUCCCAAAGUCAUGGUUAAGUGGGAAACGAUGUGGGAAGGCCCAGACAGCCAGGAUGUUGGCUUAGAAGCAGCCAUCAUUUAAAGAAAGCGUAAUAGCUCACUGGUCGAGUCGGCCUGCGCGGAAGAUGUAACGGGGCUAAACCAUGCACCGAAGCUGCGGCAGCGACACUAUGUGUUGUUGGGUAGGGGAGCGUUCUGUAAGCCUGUGAAGGUGUACUGUGAGGUAUGCUGGAGGUAUCAGAAGUGCGAAUGCUGACAUAAGUAACGAUAAAGCGGGUGAAAAGCCCGCUCGCCGGAAGACCAAGGGUUCCUGUCCAACGUUAAUCGGGGCAGGGUGAGUCGACCCCUAAGGCGAGGCCGAAAGGCGUAGUCGAUGGGAAACAGGUUAAUAUUCCUGUACUUGGUGUUACUGCGAAGGGGGGACGGAGAAGGCUAUGUUGGCCGGGCGACGGUUGUCCCGGUUUAAGCGUGUAGGCUGGUUUUCCAGGCAAAUCCGGAAAAUCAAGGCUGAGGCGUGAUGACGAGGCACUACGGUGCUGAAGCAACAAAUGCCCUGCUUCCAGGAAAAGCCUCUAAGCAUCAGGUAACAUCAAAUCGUACCCCAAACCGACACAGGUGGUCAGGUAGAGAAUACCAAGGCGCUUGAGAGAACUCGGGUGAAGGAACUAGGCAAAAUGGUGCCGUAACUUCGGGAGAAGGCACGCUGAUAUGUAGGUGAAGCGACUUGCUCGUGGAGCUGAAAUCAGUCGAAGAUACCAGCUGGCUGCAACUGUUUAUUAAAAACACAGCACUGUGCAAACACGAAAGUGGACGUAUACGGUGUGACGCCUGCCCGGUGCCGGAAGGUUAAUUGAUGGGGUUAGCGGUAACGCGAAGCUCUUGAUCGAAGCCCCGGUAAACGGCGGCCGUAACUAUAACGGUCCUAAGGUAGCGAAAUUCCUUGUCGGGUAAGUUCCGACCUGCACGAAUGGCGUAAUGAUGGCCAGGCUGUCUCCACCCGAGACUCAGUGAAAUUGAACUCGCUGUGAAGAUGCAGUGUACCCGCGGCAAGACGGAAAGACCCCGUGAACCUUUACUAUAGCUUGACACUGAACAUUGAGCCUUGAUGUGUAGGAUAGGUGGGAGGCUUUGAAGUGUGGACGCCAGUCUGCAUGGAGCCGGCCUUGAAAUACCACCCUUUAAUGUUUGAUGUUCUAACGUUGGCCCCUGAUCGGGGUUGCGGACAGUGUCUGGUGGGUAGUUUGACUGGGGCGGUCUCCUCCUAAAGAGUAACGGAGGAGCACGAAGGUUGGCUAAUCCUGGUCGGACAUCAGGAGGUUAGUGCAAUGGCAUAAGCCAGCUUGACUGCGAGCGUGACGGCGCGAGCAGGUGCGAAAGCAGGUCAUAGUGAUCCGGUGGUUCUGAAUGGAAGGGCCAUCGCUCAACGGAUAAAAGGUACUCCGGGGAUAACAGGCUGAUACCGCCCAAGAGUUCAUAUCGACGGCGGUGUUUGGCACCUCGAUGUCGGCUCAUCACAUCCUGGGGCUGAAGUAGGUCCCAAGGGUAUGGCUGUUCGCCAUUUAAAGUGGUACGCGAGCUGGGUUUAGAACGUCGUGAGACAGUUCGGUCCCUAUCUGCCGUGGGCGCUGGAGAACUGAGGGGGGCUGCUCCUAGUACGAGAGGACCGGAGUGGACGCAUCACUGGUGUUCGGGUUGUCAUGCCAAUGGCACUGCCCGGUAGCUAAAUGCGGAAGAGA